GGAAAACAGGAAUGAAAAGAUUUCUUGGUGUUCUUUUCAAAGAACAGACCUUGGUUCUGUUACCCACAGAAUUUUUUCCUGGUUUGUCAUGUACUUGAACUAAGCAAAUACUGAUUAAAAGGCUUGUUUGGUGUUCAUAGGCUUGUACUGUCUUCACCUCUGCAUAGCUCUGUUUCUUGGGUUUGUUCCGGAAUCUGUCAAUAAAAACAAAGGCGGUGAUGGAAGGGGGUUGGGGGAAGGCUGUAUUGCUGCCUGAGGACAAAAGAAAUCGACCUUCCAGAAUAGAGAAGAAGCUCUUAAAGCUUCUUUAUAUGUUCUAAAGAAGCAAAAGAGGAAAGCAACAUUUCUUCUUUACAGGUUGCCUUUAAGAUCCCUGACUCUAGGGUGUACACUAUAUACUGGGCAGUUCUUGAAUGUUGGUGUUCUCUGUCUACUCUGAGGGAUGGAGAUUCUUUCUGCACACCAGCUGCAGUGAGGUUUUUGGGGGGACCGAGGACAUUAUGAUAACAGGGAAUAAAUCUCAGCUCCUGGGGGAUGGAAGUUGGUGAGAACUGUGAUGUUCAGCCCUGAGGCAAGGAUUGUUGGAUGUGAUGCAUGUAAGCCACCUUAACUUUCCUGGCUGGGUCAAUCAACCAGCUUGUGGCAUAAGAAACUCAAUUUGGUUGUGUUUUUCUUUAUUUUUUUUUUUUUAUUUUUUUAACUGGAAUAGAAAUGCUGGUGUCAACAGCCUGCCCAAACCUGGGCAUGGGAAAGGCCUACAAUUAGGUUGCAGCUCCAAUGGCUACUAACCCCCUCUCAUUCUGUAGCACAGAUGAAUAGCACAUGGUUCCAAUGAGAAAGCAGGUUGGUUUAGCCAGUGAAAGCCAAAUUUAAGAAAUCAAACAGUACAUAAAAAAACAAAGGAGGCAGAGUUUGUUGGAAAUGAUAUCUUGGAAAUCAGUGCAUCAGCACUGGUUAGAUUGCCUCAGCACCUAUGAACCAACGCAGGGAGAUCACUGCACAGAUAUGUACAAUCCUGCUCUCAAAAGAGCCAAUUUCUUCUUAGAAUUUCUAUCUU
Long non-coding RNA from Pezoporus flaviventris, 1057 nucleotides. RefSeq lists it as uncharacterized. NCBI's taxonomy places the organism in Eukaryota, Metazoa, Chordata, Aves, Psittaciformes, Psittacidae. The transcript is spliced from 2 exons. The record is from RefSeq and is a predicted model, not a curated record.